This 1370-nucleotide long non-coding RNA is filed under the name Sus scrofa (pig). RNAcentral's name for it is "lncRNA (ENSSSCG00005017345.1)". The record is from RNAcentral. Lineage: Eukaryota; Metazoa; Chordata; Mammalia; Artiodactyla; Suidae.
CUUAAAUGAGAUGGUGAGUGAAUUCGAUAAUAUGAUAAUAUGUAAAAAGCAGAAGUAAUAUAACACAUGUGAAUUCUAAUAGAUAAUGAACAUAUUAAAAAAAAAUGAACCAAGUCAAAUGGUGUCAUUUCUGGACAGGUAGGUGGAAAUGCUGGCCUAACAGCAGGUCAGUAUGGGAAACAGCUUUGGAAUCUCCCCAAAUUACACUAUGCAAGAGGCAUUUAUAAGUCUGAUCUGGCUCUGGGUACAGUACCCUCAAAAACAAUAAUUAUAACUAAGUGAUAGCAGAAUAGAACUAGCACAUUUACUUUCUUACCUGACAAUGUAAACUUUGGUCCAGAGUAAGCACGAACAAAAGGAACAAAAUAGUAUGUAUUUUCCUCUAGGUAAAUUUAUAGACAGUGUAGCAUAGAAAUCAAAUAAAAUAUCAGCUGAUCCAUAAAGCAGAUUUUCAAAAGUUAAAUACUCAGAAAUUUGGCCACUCUAACUGCCUUUUUGUCUUUUCUGUCUUUUUAGGGCCACAUUCACAGCAUAUGGAGGUUUCCAGCCUAGGGGUCAAAUCGGAGCUGUAGCUGCUGGCCUGCACCACAGCAACACUGAAUCCUUAACCCACUGAGCAAGGCCAGGGAUUGAUCCCACAUCCUCAUGGAUACUAGCUGAGUUCCUUAACCACUGAGUCAUGACAGGAACUCCCCUAACUGCUUAAUAAACUUUAUGCUUCUUGCUAAUCUCAUAUUUAAAAUAUAAUUUUGAUUUUUAUACACUAAUAUUUUUGAAUUUCUUAUUUCUAGAUGUUCUUACUUUUUCAGACUUUGUAAGCUAGGCCUAAUUGUCUUAUUCAUUCUCCUCACUCUACAUGAUUUAGUAUUUAGAGCACUUUGUUCUUGAGGUUAAAACAUGGUGCAUUCUACUCCUGGGAACCUCCAUCUGCUGCGGGAGUGGCCCAAAGAAAUAGCAAAAAGACAAAAAAAAAAAAAAAAAAAAAAAGUGUCCAAUUAGUAUGCUUACUGAACUCUCAGCCCUUUCUUUUUUAAUCCCAGUAUUAAUUAUUAACACUGAUAAAAUGUGUGGCCGUAUUACCUUUUUUAUUCUAAUUUGGUCCUUUAAAACUGGAUCACUCUGGUGAGCCCUUAUGACAUUCGAGGAGAGAAUGAGCUCUCAUCAAAUCUUACAGUGACUUUGGAGGUCAGUUAGUGGGUGUGUCACCUCCAGACUCUCAAAGCAUUUGCUUAUCUGAAUUUCAGCACACUUGUUAGAUAAUGAAUUCUUUAUUUAGUUAAGGUAUUACACAUUUCUUGCAUUCUUCUUUGCUUAUAGAAUGUAUAUACUUCUGUUCUUUGAUUUUUUAUUCUAGAACUGUGUAAAAAAAA